CCUACGGGAGGCAGCAGUGGGGAAUAUUGGGCAAUGGAGGCAACUCUAACCCAGCAACGCCGCGUGAAUGAUGAAGGUCUUCGGAUUGUAAAGUUCUGUGAUGGGGGAUGAACACAAUGACGGUACCCCAAUAGCAAGCCACGGCUAACUACGUGCCAGCAGCCGCGGUAAUACGUAGGUGGCAAGCGUUAUCCGGAAUGACUGGGCGUAAAGGGUGCGUAGGUGGUUUAGUAAGUUGGCGGUGUAAUUCCGGGGCUCAACCUCGGCGCUACCGCCAAAACUAUUAGACUAGAGUGCAGGAGGGGUAAGUGGAAUUCCUAGUGUAGCGGUGGAAGGCGUAGAGAUUAGGAGGAACAUCAGGGGCGAAGGCGACUUACUGGACUGUAACUGACACUGAGGCACGAAAGCGUGGGGAGCAAACAGGAUUAGAUACCCCAGUAGUC
RNAcentral lists this ribosomal RNA (443 nucleotides) under uncultured bacterium. RNAcentral describes it as "partial 16S ribosomal RNA". It matches the Rfam family "Bacterial small subunit ribosomal RNA", at positions 338 to 795 of the family's 1533-position model. The record is from RNAcentral.